GACGAACGCUGGCGGCGUGCCUAAUACAUGCAAGUCGAACGAACCGCGACUAGGUGCUUGCACUUGGUCAAGGUGAGUGGCGAACGGGUGAGUAACACGUGGGUAACCUACCUCAUAGUGGGGGAUAACAGUCGGAAACGACUGCUAAUACCGCAUAGGACAUGGGAUCACAUGAUUCUGUGAGGAAAGGUGGCGCAAGCUAUCGCUAAGAGAUGGACCCGCGGUGCAUUAGCUAGUUGGUAGGGUAACGGCCUACCAAGGCAAUGAUGCAUAGCCGACCUGAGAGGGCGAUCGGCCACAUUGGGACUGAGACACGGCCCAAACUCCUACGGGAGGCAGCAGUAGGGAAUCUUCCGCAAUGGACGCAAGUCUGACGGGAGCAACGCCCGCGUGAGUGAAAGAAGGUCUUUCGGGAUCGUAAAAGCUUCUGUUGGUAGAGAAA
RNAcentral lists this ribosomal RNA (442 nucleotides) under Abiotrophia defectiva. RNAcentral's name for it is "bacterial SSU rRNA". It matches the Rfam family "Bacterial small subunit ribosomal RNA", at positions 28 to 447 of the family's 1533-position model. The record is from RNAcentral. Lineage: Bacteria; Bacillati; Bacillota; Bacilli; Lactobacillales; Aerococcaceae.